CUUGCUUUUGAUUCGUUAGCGGCGGACGGGUGAGUAACACGUGGGCAACCUGCCCUGUAGACGGGGAUAACACCGAGAAAUCGGUGCUAAUACCGGAUAACACGAAAUGUCGCAUGACGUUUCGUUGAAAGACGGCGCAAGCUGUCGCUACAGGAUGGGCCCGCGGCGCAUUAGCUAGUUGGUGAGGUAACGGCUCACCAAGGCGACGAUGCGUAGCCGACCUGAGAGGGUGAUCGGCCACACUGGGACUGAGACACGGCCCAGACUCC
This 269-nucleotide ribosomal RNA is filed under the name unidentified marine bacterioplankton. RNAcentral's name for it is "partial 16S ribosomal RNA". It matches the Rfam family "Bacterial small subunit ribosomal RNA", at positions 76 to 339 of the family's 1533-position model. The record is from RNAcentral. RNAcentral also lists the same sequence under 1 other name.